Molecule: ribosomal RNA, 262 nt
Filed under: uncultured bacterium
Lineage: Bacteria
Description: partial 16S ribosomal RNA
Rfam family: Bacterial small subunit ribosomal RNA
Source: RNAcentral
GUCCAUGCCGUAAACGUUGGGCGCUAGGUGUGGGGCUCAUUCCACGAGUUCCGUGCCGCAGCUAACGCAUUAAGCGCCCCGCCUGGGGAGUACGGCCGCAAGGCUAAAACUCAAAGGAAUUGACGGGGGCCCGCACAAGCGGCGGAGCAUGCGGAUUAAUUCGAUGCAACGCGAAGAACCUUACCAAGGCUUGACAUGGGGUGAAAACUCGCAGAGAUGCGGGGUCCGCAAGGGCGCCUCACAGGUGGUGCAUGGUUGUCGU